Molecule: non-coding RNA, 5048 nt
Organism: Aegilops tauschii subsp. strangulata
Lineage: Eukaryota; Viridiplantae; Streptophyta; Magnoliopsida; Poales; Poaceae
Source: RefSeq, a predicted model, not a curated record
GUUAACUGGGCCUCCACCCCUUACGCAUUGCAGGCUUCCAACCCAUUCUCGCAGCGCCUCAUCCCCUUCCCUGACACCGCCGCCGCCGCCGCCGCUGAAGGGAUCUCAGGCAGCGGCGCCCUUCCCUCCUCUUGCUCGCUCUGCACCUAGCUAGGCGAUUGCGCAACCCUCUCCUCCUUUGUCCCUCCUUUUUUACCUCCGGCUCCUUGUGCUACCUCCCCAUGGCGCCUCCCUGUCCCGUUGUUCCAUGAAGGUCGAAGGUGUGACAAAGAUGAGAGGAUGAGCACGGGAGGAUGGGAAGACGAGUCGAUCUGGAGCAAGGCGGGGACUUCCCAGCCGCCAAUGUAUUCCUCCCCGUCACCUUCGACGAGUCGAGCUGGAGCAAGGUGGAUGGGUGCUCAUCUGCAGGUCAUGACCACUGGUGAUGUCCUCUCCUCCAAUGGAAGUUGAUGUCAAAUCCCCUCCUCGAAGGUGACAAUCUACUCAUGCAGAUUUGCUUCUCCGGGUAAAAACAUUGUGCGAUGAGGCAAAUGAGAUAUUAGGGAGGAAGCUAAUGUUCAGGUAUGGUAGAUCGUUCUCAUAAUUUUGCAAUGGCGUCUGUUAAUAGGUAAUAAGGUGUUACAAAAUAUAAUGGUAUGCUCUAUUCGGUUGUAGGCUUGUAGUAACAUCAUGCCAGUAUACUCUUAGGCGUGUUCUGCAUUGUUCACUUUGCUCAAAAUUUUGUAAUGGAAUCAUUUUGUUUUGUUAAUAGUGUGGAAUGAACCAACUAGAAAAAGUUAGGAAUAAUGUCUUCAUGAUCAUUUUUCGGUGCUGCGUACAUGAAAUACCUUCUCCAAGUUUUAAUUUAUGAAGCGGACUAGGACCUUUGCUCCAAGCACCUGUGGAAGAUACUAGCCGAGCUGCGAACUGGUGAGCCGCGGGCAAAAGAAAAUACCGUCGAUGCAGUCGCAGGUUGUGGGUGGAUAGGCAAGCCGGUUGAGCCGAUGUGUUCACACGGGCAUCCGCCAUCCGGUCGAGGAGCGAGCCCAUGUGGUAAAGCUGCUUCGGGCCUUCCAGGUCGCACGCCGAUGCAGGUCUAGGCGAAGCGGCGUUCGCUGUUAGGUGAAGCAGAUCAACGAGAGAAAGUCAUUGGGUUUUGAAGAAAGCAAUCAACAGAUCAAUGUCGACCGGGGCAUGCUGAUAGGUGAUGGGCCAUCACACUUCACCAUCAGCUGGAAACUGAGAUUCGUCUUCGUCUAGACCUCUACCUUCAGUGAUUGUUCUGAUGCCAUUAUUUUCCAAUGAAACACCAUAUUCAGAUUUAGAAUGCCUCGCGAAAACGGCAAAGGGUUUGAGGGUGGCGAUUUUUAGCCUUGGAGUUGUAAGCCUUGCUUUAAGUGAAACAUGAUAUUUUAUCUACCACAAUAUACUAUUGGAGGUUGAUGAGAAUUAUUCCCUAUAAACGUCAGUCGUUGUUGUAUGUUCUUUUCACAUGAUCAGGCUAUGGAAGGGGUCAGGAUGGAUAGGGGAUCAAGUAUUAUCAGUGAGGACUUGAACCCUGCAAAAUAAGAACAAGUUACAGUCUAUUGCUAUCUUCAGAAACAAAAUAUAUAUACAUUUUCAUAAUUGUUUAUGGACACAUACUUAACUUUUGCGAAAAAGCCAGCUAAGAAAUUUUGCUGCACCGACUUUGUAAACCCAAAGGAUCACACCAAGCCAGUGCAUGAGGUAUGUUAUGUUCUCUGCCUGAGCAUACAUUUAUCUCUUAAUUUGUUCACGGGAUGCCAUAUUGUAUCAAAUGCUUGCAAUUGAGUUAUGCUCCUGGUGCUUGUUGAGAUGACAAACAUUGGAGUCAACAGAGCCGUGGAUUGCACUUGCCACGUCGACGCCAUGAUAUUUGCCUUUGAAUGCUUUCAUGAUGUAUGUUCUCGAUACACUUGUAGUUUGAGCAUUCUGAGCAUUGAUGUGUUUUCUACUUUGAGCUCAGUCAUGAAGUCUGAGUGCAGGGGUGGGGCGUGGUUAGGCUGGUGGGUGUCCCACACAAGGAGGUGGCAUUCAAUACCCACCUGAUGAACUUCCUCAGUGGCAAGACCUUGAAAGGUGCCUUCUUUGGGAACUACAAGCCACACACCAACCUCCCAGACGUUGUCAAGAUUUACGCGAGGAAGGAGCUGGAGCUGGAGAAGUUCAUCAUGCACGACGGACCUUUCUAACAGAUCAAAUUGUGCUCAUCAUUCUAAAGAGGAGGUACUGCUGCUUCACGAGGUUGGAUGAUUAGAUUGAGCUUCUUCGGUCAUGUCCCUUGCUACUUUUAGAUUUGGUGCUUGAGAAACAUAAGAAAAAUGCUUAUAAGAUCUUCCCUCAGGUAAUAAUGUAAUAGUUGUGAGACACCAUGUGUUGAGCUCUUUUUUGUCACAAAGAACUAACACUGUUUUGUGUUGUCGUACUGUUUUGUGUUGUCGUACAACACUUGCCAGCAGCAAGCAGUCUUUAGUUACUUUGUACCUGAACGUUUUGCACAGUAAUGGUCUGCAGUUUCUCUGUUUUUCUUUUGCACAUCAGCUUCUCUAUUAAUGUCGAUGUUUUCCUUUUUUUUAAAACUGAAUCUCGGUGUCUCAAUUGCACAUUGCAAAUCAGUUCUGAUAUUCUGUCAUCUUUAUGUUUGCAGUUAGCCAUUCUUUUACUCACCAGUCGUAAAAAUAGUAGAUAUUUCAAGUCCAAAUUCUAUGGGCAAAGUGGUGAUUGUAAAAAAAAACAUCAUCUAGCGAGCCAAGUGGAGUGUCCACUGUAGGCCUAAAGUCCAAGAGGAUCUUGACAUGCAUGAUCUUGAGAGAAAAAUACUAGCCUCCUGCAAAUGGCAUUUGGUCUAUUAUAAUGAACAUCUUAUGCUACAAAUACGCAAAAAAUCACAAUAAUAUGUAUACUACAACUACUAUAACUUUUAGAUAAAAUAAAAUUGUACAUAAUUACAUAUAGUUAACUUUAAAAUAAAAUACCUACACAACAUUGCAUCAAUACCUAACAUUCCGUAUUAAAAAGACGGGUGCGGCAACGCGCGCCAACGAUGAUCUAGUAAUUUCUAAAAAUAGACGACUAUGCUCCCUUUACGGUUGACUUAUCGGAUGAGGAUGAAGAGGACUAUAUGGUCCAUGUGCAGCUUGCCGCCGAACGUGCCAGUGAGGACUACUUGGCAUCACUUGUUCAGGUGGACCACAGCUCUAUGAUGAGAACCACGCUCUCCUCGAGUCUAUCAAGGGCGAAUGGGAGGUCGAGGCUAAUCGCUAGGAGAUGACCCGCUGUCAUGUCGAGAAGCAUAAGUAUUUCGCCGAGCUUGACAAGUUCGUCGACGAGACGAAGGAGAGCGAUGACCCAUUGCCAUGGAUUCGGCCCACCACCAAUGAUCACGAGAAGAUGCUUCAUCAAGCAUCAGGUGACUUGUAAAAUCAAUGAGGCUUUCUGGCAGUGGCGACCGUGGCUACUCUUCCUCAAGUGGUUCUAUACCCGCUGCCAUGGAGGACCACGAUAUCUACACUCCUGGCGAGGAGGAGCAUGAGAUGGUGCGUGAGGACGAGGAGGGGUCUGCCUCUAGCUCUACAGGCAUGAAGAAGCACUCUGGGUGUGGUCAGUCGGAGGUACCAAAGCCCACACCUCCCGAGCACCAGCCUGUCGUUUGACCCUACUUAGACAAUCAGUGGGAACUCGUUCAAGCGGCUUCACACCACCGGUAGGUGAACCACAUCAUUGGUGCUCUUCUGAAGGAGGACCCCCCCGACAUGGUGAAGCUGAAUGACAAGGUGUAAUCGUCCCCAGGAUUCACUUGGGAGAAGUACAACAACGCCCUGGAUGACGAGUGUGACAACAAGUCCGACCGGAUCUAUCGAGAUAUGUGGGAUGGGCACCUGGUUGAGGCACGCCUGAUGGCAGAGAGAGAUUCCAAGAACCGUCUCUCUAACAUGAGCACAUUGUGUGAUACACGACUGAGAUGAGAUGUCGCCCCCUGGAGGACGAGGGGAAUUAAAAUCACUUCUUGGUACUACUUACAUCAGUAGCCUCUUGUUUCUUCUAUUCGUCAUAUGAUGUACUUUGUCUGAGUAGCUAGAUGAUGGAGCCAUGGAUCCCAGCUGAUUGUUGGACGACAUUCAUGGGUAUGUGGUGCGACCCUGCGUGGCAGGUGCGACACGUUACGAAAAAGGGAGGAGAAACCGUGGAUGAAGGGCCUCUCACAUGUCCUAGGCGGCCUCAACCUGGCAGUUAGCUACCAAAAGAUGUGAGACAACAACCUGGGUGCCACGUCAACAUCAUGCGGGCGUGUGCACAUGGCCAUAGGGGAAAGGGGGCCAGGGUAUUACAACGACUCAACCAAGGAGAAGAUGGAUGCGUACACAACUGUGUACCGUGAGAAACAUGGGUCCGUGGUUGAUCCUCUGUAGUAGCCACCCGAUCCAGAGUUGGUCAUGAGGGUAGGAGGUGUGAAGAAGAGUGGUUGCCACCUCAUUUGCAAAGGUGCAGUCGCCACCUUCUCACAUCCCAAACUAUUUCAGAUCCAGGCACCGAGCACAAGCUCAAGUCCCUCCAUGAGGAGUCACCCGACGACUCAUUCACGUGAGAUUGCAUGACUCCAGAUUUGCAACUUCCAUACCCAUGUCUUUACAUUCCUGAAUUGCAAUCUAUAUUUGGGCCACAAAGCUGGAAGAAGAAAGGAUGAAAAGGGAGGAGGCCGAGGCCGCACAGGUGGCACGACCGCGGGAAGAAGUGGCUGCAAGAGAGAUGCUCCAGGUAGAGUUCAAGGGUUACCACUUUCCCAUAAUAGCCACCAAUAUUAACCGAUCAUCCAGUAUGAUACAAGGGUAACAAAGAUAACUGUAGGCGCUUCAUGAAAGUGUCAAGGCUAUGAAGCAUACCCCCCUCCUCCCCCACAAUCACAAAGCCCGCGUCCACGGAGUUGAUGUUUUCGAGAGGUUGUGUCGAUGAACUACUUUCGAACUUCCAAUGUUUCUUAUCUUAUGUGUGACUUGUACGACGCUUGUGAACUUUAUAUGCUUUUGAUAUUGUUAUGUGACUUGUUGGUA